RNAcentral lists this long non-coding RNA (509 nucleotides) under Setaria viridis. RNAcentral's name for it is "long non-coding RNA (SVIR_LNC005460)". Lineage: Eukaryota; Viridiplantae; Streptophyta; Magnoliopsida; Poales; Poaceae. The record is from RNAcentral.
UUGCCGGUCUAAAACACCGACAGCUGGCACGCCAGGUAGGGGAACUCAUCGAGUUUCUCAGAGCGAACUCAAUGGCAAAGAUCAUCAUCAGGCCCGUCUUCAUCAUCGAAGCCGACGUCACCUUCGUCUUUGGAUCCUAGCUUUGCGUCGCUGAAGGCUCGGGAUCGUUCCGACGCCAGAUCAUCGACGUUCAGGAAAAGAAACUAGAAGAUUUGACCAGAAAAAAUCAGGAUUUCAAAGUCAACGAGUUCGAGUUCGACUACGCAUCGGAUUCGACUUCGCCUCGGACUACUCCAACCUUCCGCUCAGGGGUCGGGCACUCCCGACACCAGGACUCAGGGUCGGGCGAGGCGGAGCUUCACUCGGGGUCGGGCGAGGGGGAUCUACUCCUCCAAAGGGUCGGGCUCAGCCGACCCCAGGACUCAGGGUCGGAUUCGCUUCGGAUUCGAUGGCCCUAGUCAGCAUCCAAAUCGGUUUCGACUUCAACGCGAUUCCUGUACGGACUCCGC